ACUCCUACGGGAGGCAGCAGUGGGGAAUAUUGCACAAUGGGCGCAAGCCUGAUGCAGCCAUGCCGCGUGUAUGAAGAAGGCCUUCGGGUUGUAAAGUACUUUCAGCAGUGAGGAAGGUGGAUAUGUUAAUAGCAUAUUCUAUUUGUACGUUAGCUGCAGAAGAAGCACCGGCUAACUCCGUGCCAGCAGCCGCGGUAAUACGGAGGGUGCGAGCGUUAAUCGGAAUUACUGGGCGUAAAGCGCAUGCAGGUGGUUUGUUAAGUCAGAUGUGAAAGCCCGGGGCUCAACCUCGGAAUUGCAUUUGAAACUGGCAAACUAGAGUACUGUAGAGGGGGUAGAAUUUCAGGUGUAGCGGUGAAAUGCGUAGAGAUCUGAAGGAAUACCGGUGGCGAAGGCGGCCCCCUGGACAGAUACUGACACUCAGAUGCGAAAGCGUGGGAGCAAACAGGAUUAGAUACCCCUGGUAGGUCAGUC
Molecule: ribosomal RNA, 474 nt
Filed under: uncultured bacterium
Lineage: Bacteria
Description: bacterial SSU rRNA
Rfam family: Bacterial small subunit ribosomal RNA
Source: RNAcentral